This 518-nucleotide ribosomal RNA is filed under the name uncultured bacterium. RNAcentral describes it as "bacterial SSU rRNA". It matches the Rfam family "Bacterial small subunit ribosomal RNA", at positions 993 to 1516 of the family's 1533-position model. The record is from RNAcentral.
GACCGGUGUAGAGAUACACUUUCUUCUUCGGAAGCGCCGGUGACAGGUGGUGCAUGGUUGUCGUCAGCUCGUGUCGUGAGAUGUUGGGUUAAGUCCCGCAACGAGCGCAACCCUUAUUGUUAGUUGCUACGCAAGAGCACUCUAGCGAGACUGCCGUUGACAAAACGGAGGAAGGUGGGGACGACGUCAAAUCAUCAUGCCCCUUAUGUCCUGGGCCACACACGUACUACAAUGGUGGUUAACAGAGGGAGGCAAAACCGCGAGGUGGAGCAAAUCCCUAAAAGCCAUCCCAGUUCGGAUCGCAGGCUGCAACCCGCCUGCGUGAAGUUGGAAUCGCUAGUAAUCGCGGAUCAGCAUGCCGCGGUGAAUACGUUCCCGGGCCUUGUACACACCGCCCGUCACACCAUGAGAGUCGGGAACACCCGAAGUCCGUAGCCUAACCGCAAGGGGGGCGCGGCCGAAGGUGGGUUCGAUAAUUGGGGUGAAGUCGUAACAAGGUAGCCGUAUCGGAAGGUGCG